CAGCAGCCGCGGGAAUACGUAGGUGGCAAGCGUUGUCCGGAAUUAUUGGGCGUAAAGCGCGCGCAGGUGGUUUAAUAAGUCUGAUGUGAAAGCCCACGGCUCAACCGUGGAGGGUCAUUGGAAACUGUUAAACUUGAGUGCAGGAGAGAAAAGUGGAAUUCCUAGUGUAGCGGUGAAAUGCGUAGGGAUUAGGAGGAACACCAGUGGCGAAGGCGGCUUUUUGGCCUGUAACUGACACUGAGGCGCGAAAGCGUGGGGAGCAAACAGGAUUAGAUACCCGCGUAGUCCCUGUCUCUUAUAC
RNAcentral lists this ribosomal RNA (301 nucleotides) under uncultured bacterium. RNAcentral describes it as "partial 16S ribosomal RNA". It matches the Rfam family "Bacterial small subunit ribosomal RNA", at positions 509 to 807 of the family's 1533-position model. The record is from RNAcentral.